Long non-coding RNA from Cyprinus carpio carpio, 487 nucleotides. NCBI's taxonomy places the organism in Eukaryota, Metazoa, Chordata, Actinopteri, Cypriniformes, Cyprinidae. The record is from Ensembl.
UUUGGGGAUACCAAUACACGAAUGCCUUACAUAUCUUCACAUGUGAUGUUACAGUGUUAAGACACUCACAGACUUGACAGCUACUUUCUGUUCUGAAAACAUCCCAAGUUUCAAUCUACCCUAGCACACAAACUUUUGAUGAGCAACCAGAAAAUAAUUGCCAUGUCAGAAAUGGCACAUUUUGAGACCCCUGGACAAUGCACUGAUUACCCCUUCUUUCUACUUUCUGACACCUGACCCCAAAGGUUCUGGACACACCAAUGAAUUCUCUGAGAAAAUAAGAAAUCCUGCUCUAUUACAGAAAAACCGUGAGGCUACAAAGACUGUUUCUUUUUGUUUGUUUGUCAGUUUGUGACAGUUAAACCAUGGGGAAAAUGAAAUGCUGUGAAACGGAUUGUCUUGAUUGUAGUAAUUUCUUUUUCAAGCUGAGAAAACAGAAAGGUCACCUAAGUGGCGUGCAUGAAUGGGGGGAAAAAAGAAGAUUACA